GAGUUUGAUCAUGGCUCAGGAUGAACGCUGACAGAAUGCUUAACACAUGCAAGUCGACUCGAGUCUUCGGACUUGGGUGGCGCACGGGUGAGUAACGCGUAAAGAACUUGCCUCUUAGACCGGGACAACAUCUGGAAACGGAUGCUAAUACCGGAUAUUAUGGUUUUUUCGCAUGGAGGAAUCAUGAAAGCUAGAUGCGCUAAGAGAGAGCUUUGCGUCCCAUUAGCUAGUUGGUGAGGUAACGGCCCACCAAGGCAAUGAUGGGUAGCCGGCCUGAGAGGGUGAACGGCCACAAGGGGACUGAGACACGGCCCUUACUCCUACGGGAGGCAGCAGUGGGGAAUAUUGGACAAUGGACCACAAGUCUGAUCCAGCAAUUCUGUGUGCACGAUGACGUUUUUCGGAAUGUAAAGUGCUUUCAGUCGGGAAGAAGUCAGUGACG
Molecule: ribosomal RNA, 442 nt
Filed under: Fusobacterium necrophorum
Lineage: Bacteria; Fusobacteriati; Fusobacteriota; Fusobacteriia; Fusobacteriales; Fusobacteriaceae
Description: bacterial SSU rRNA
Rfam family: Bacterial small subunit ribosomal RNA
Source: RNAcentral